GGCCGAGUAGCAAAAUGGUCAUGCAGCGGAUUGCAAAUCCGUUUAUGCCGGUUCGAUUCCGGCCUCGGCCUCCA
RNAcentral lists this transfer RNA (74 nucleotides) under Candidatus Pseudomonas adelgestsugas. Its description in RNAcentral is "tRNA-Cys". It matches the Rfam family "tRNA". From Rfam's summary of the family: Transfer RNA (tRNA) molecules are approximately 80 nucleotides in length. The record is from RNAcentral. Lineage: Bacteria; Pseudomonadati; Pseudomonadota; Gammaproteobacteria; Pseudomonadales; Pseudomonadaceae.